GGUGGCUCAGUGGUAGAGUGCUUGCCUAGCAUGCAUGAGGUCCUGGGUUCAAUUCCUCAGUACCA
Molecule: transfer RNA, 65 nt
Filed under: Dipodomys ordii (Ord's kangaroo rat)
Lineage: Eukaryota; Metazoa; Chordata; Mammalia; Rodentia; Heteromyidae
Rfam family: tRNA
About the family: Transfer RNA (tRNA) molecules are approximately 80 nucleotides in length. Their secondary structure includes four short double-helical elements and three loops (D, anti-codon, and T loops).
Source: Rfam by way of RNAcentral